Molecule: ribosomal RNA, 456 nt
Filed under: uncultured bacterium
Lineage: Bacteria
Description: bacterial SSU rRNA
Rfam family: Bacterial small subunit ribosomal RNA
Source: RNAcentral
GACGAACGCUGGCGGCGUGCCUAACACAUGCAAGUCGUACGCUUGUAAAAGCGUGGCGAACGGGUGAGUAUAAGCAAGGAACAUGCCUUAUUCCGGGAAAUACCCAGCCGAAAGGUUGGCUAAUGUCCCAUGGUCUCGCAAGAGUAAAGCUCCGGCGGAAUAAGAUUGGCCUUGCUCCUAUCAGCUAGUUGGUGAGGUAAAGGCUUACCAAGGCUUCGACGGGUAGCUGGUCUGAGAGGAUGAUCAGCCACACUGGGACUGAGACACGGCCCAGACUCCUACGGGAGGCAGCAGUGGGGAAUCUUGCGCAAUGGGCGAAAGCCUGACGCAGCCAUGCCGCGUGAAUGAUGAAGGCCUUAGGGUUGUAAAGUUCUUUUACCCGUGACGAUGAUGACGGUAACGGGGGAAUAAGCUCCGGCAAACUUCGUGCCAGCAGCCACGGUAAAUCUCGCGUGA